This 2761-nucleotide long non-coding RNA is filed under the name Salvia miltiorrhiza (redroot sage). RNAcentral's name for it is "long non-coding RNA (SMIL_LNC000497)". Lineage: Eukaryota; Viridiplantae; Streptophyta; Magnoliopsida; Lamiales; Lamiaceae. The record is from RNAcentral.
CUGUUCAAAUCUCAUGGAUCACACUAUGUAACAUAAGCAUCUCACAAUUCAUCUUACAUUUUGAGCAACAGUUUAGAACGGCAAACAAGUAUUAAAUUCUUGAGUUUUGAGCACGAUCGUUCUUUCAAAUUUUCCAUUCUAAUUCAGGUCAAUAGGAUACAAUUGGGUUAUUUCUUGGGAAUCCUGUGUUUUCCAUGGUUACUUCAUGCACCACUUGCAUAUAAACGUGUCCAUUCUUUAGCUGCAACAUUGCCAACAAAAGAACACACUUGAUUGCCUAGUGGUUAUAUUCGACAUCGAAGCUGUGUUGUAAAAAACACUGUUUCAAUGUGAAAUUAGAAAUGGAAUUAAAAGUGUACCUGUUUCCACAGCUUCAGCCUCAUUUGUUUUCCAAUGCUUUGCAAUGUUUUCUGAGAGUGGAUCAUCAGGAUUUGGAGCACUCAAAAGUGCUUGAAUGCUAGAAGCAGCAGAAUAAUGCGGACUUGAGUGUUUAAAGUUUAAACAUUUUGAAAUUAAUUGAAGGCCAAAAUUACAUACAAAGGUUUUUAAAUCAAUUACUACCACUACCUUUAUAAUUACAGAAAAGUCAAGGAAAGCUUCUGUUUGGUAUGAGAUUGUAGCCAGAGUCAUACCUCAAAAGUACAGUUCUAAUCUGAAGUGCAGGACUCCAUUUGUCUUUUAGAAUGUCCAGGCAUAUUCUUCCAAGCUGCAUUGAUUUUACAUUCAGCUGAUGUGAUAUUACACUGAGAUCAAUCCAUAUAAACAAAACCAAAACCGAGACUGACCUUGUCGAUAUUUGGAUGGUAGAUUUUUGUUAGGAAGCGCACCUGUUACAAAGAAAGUACCAUUAGCAUUGUUCUUAUCCAGAUCAACAGACAGACUACUAAGAACUUUUAGAUUUUAAUAAAUAAAUAAAGAGAACACAUACACACACACACACACGUAUUUAAAUCAAUAGCCUGUGCUACACCAUAUCUGAAAAUUUUAACUUUGCAGCCCCAUAUUUAUCUAAAGUUGAAGUGAAUCUGUGAGGAAAAUUCUGAAACAAGGAAAGGUCAUUCAAAAUCAAAUGGACAUGGUCACCGAUUACCAGUCAACUAGUUAACAUAUGCAACACAUUCACACAACUUAACCAGAACUGAUUGACUGUUCGAGCAUAAGAAUCAUGGCAUUUAAGAACUGAUACCAGUAAAAAAAACAAAAUUAAGCUAUCAUUGACAAGGAAUAAUUCCUUUAAAAGGUUAAUAGAGCUAAGAUCCAAUAUGUGGAGACAUAGUGUAAUAAACCAUUUACCCUGUAUUCCUGGGGGGUCGACAAGAAAAGAACAAGUGAUUUUUUACAUUAACCAACAUAAAUCAAUAAAUACCAUGUCAUCUGACAAUGUUAUUCCAGUGUAAAAUCUCAUUUAAUUUGUGAAACGAGAUCCUUCUAUCAUUAAAAAGAGAGAGAUAGACUAACAUGACAAACAAUUGCUAAUUAUACUCUUCUUAUCAAGAACACAAGCACCACAACACAACACCAAAACACAAUUCAAUAAAAGUUCCUUAAUAACAGUGGCGGAUCCAGGAUUUUUAAAUUGGGGAUGCAAAAAAUAAUCUUAUAAACACUAGUGGAGCUAGGAUUUUUUUUGAGGGAGUUGAACUUCUACGGGGGUUCGGGGGCGGUAGCCCCCGAGAUUUUUUUUUUUGAGGCCUUCGAUACAUUUUAGACAUUUUUUUUUACUAAAAUACAAAUUUAAUAGUAAUAACUUUGCAUUUCAAAUGCAAAAUGUAUACUUUCAACUUUUUUGUUUAAUUAAGAAUUGAGGUAAUUGAUUGAUUAAAUGAUGGGCUUGAUCAAAAGAAUGAAAAAGAAAGAGAUGGUGAGCUCUCUUUUUAGUUGGGUCAAUGGAAUUUAGGAUUUUAAAAACUGAAUUUCUCUUUUAUUUUGGAUUAAAACUUUUAAUUGGGGGUGCAAAAACUAAAUCUAAAAUAAUUUAUAUAUGAAUAUUAAUACUAGUAAAAAAAAAUUUUUUUUUGGGGAUGCAACUGCACCCCCAUGUUCCAUGGUGGAUCCGCCCCUGCUUAAUAAGUCAUGAAAUGCAAUUAAUGGAAUUAUGACCUUGAACCAUACAGCCCUGAAGAAUAUUCUUAUCANCAAAUAUCUAAUUUCAUACAUUUCGAAACAAUAAAAAGAAGAGAAGGAUAAAGCAGAUUGUAUUAGUACGGGACAACAGUCCCUCAUGUUGAACUUCAAUCGACAUUUUUUUGGUUCAACUGUCCUAACGAUGGCAGAGUAUUUCCGAGAUGUUAACAAACAAGGCGUACUUCCAAAAGCCAAUAUUAAUGAUACCGAUUGCUGAUUGAUCAAUGAUCAGUCAACCAACUUCUAAGCAAACUUAUCAUCCCAUCUGAUCAGAUCGGUAUGCUUUGCUACUCUGCUUUAGGCCGAGAUAAGCUAAUUGACAAUCAUCGAUUUCUAGAAGCAAGAUAGACUGUUCAACAUCUCAUGGAUCACACUAUGUAACAUAAGCAUCUCACAAUUCAUCUUACAUUUUGAGCAACAGUUUAGAACGGCAAACAAGUAUUAAAUUCUUGAGUUUUGAGCACGAUCGUUCUUCAAAUUUUCCAUUCUAAUUCAGGUCAAUAGGAUACAAUUGGGUUAUUUCUUGGGAAUCCUGUGUUUUCCAUGGUUACUUCAUGCACCACUUGCAUAUAAACGUGUCCAUUCUUUAGCUGCAACAUUGCCAACAAAAGAACACACUUGAUUGCCUAGUGGUUAU